CGCAUAUUGCGCCUAUUAGUAUUCUAGUAGGCAUGCCUGUUCGAGCGUCAUUUCAACCCUCAAGCGCUGCUUUGCUUGGUGUUGGAGUUUCUAUAAAUUUAAGUUUAUAGGCUCUAAAAGUCAGUGGCGGGCUAGUUAGUGCUUCGAGCGUAGUAAUUUAUCUUCUCGCUUAGGACGCCUAGCUGGUGCUAGCCAUCAACUAUGUUUUUAUACCCAAGUUUGACCUCGGAUCAGGUAGGAAUACCCGCUGAACUUAA
This 257-nucleotide unclassified non-coding RNA is filed under the name Natantiella ligneola. Its description in RNAcentral is "partial contains 5.8S ribosomal RNA, internal transcribed spacer 2, and large subunit ribosomal RNA". The record is from RNAcentral. Lineage: Eukaryota; Fungi; Ascomycota; Sordariomycetes.